UACAGAGGGUGCGAGCGUUGUUCGGAAUUAUUGGGCGUAAAGGGCGCGUAGGCGGUGCGGUAAGUCACCUGUGAAAUCUCCUGGCUCAACUGGGAGCUUGCAGGCGAAACUGCCGUGCUGGAGUGUGGGAGAGGUGCGUGGAAUUCCCGGUGUAGCGGUGAAAUGCGUAGAUAUCGGAAGGAACACCAGUGGCGAAAGCGGCUUCCUGGUCCAGCACCGACGUUCAGGCACGAAAGCGUGGGGAGCAAACAGG
Molecule: ribosomal RNA, 253 nt
Filed under: uncultured bacterium
Lineage: Bacteria
Description: partial 16S ribosomal RNA
Rfam family: Bacterial small subunit ribosomal RNA
Source: RNAcentral